GAACUCCUUUCUAGGAGCAGUUUUUUUAGUGGUUUUGGAAUUCCUUUCCUGUUUGCUUGCAAACAGGGGUUCCAAAACGGGCCAUACGGCACACUUAAAAACAGCUUGUUAGAACAUAGAUGGCACCAGUCAGGUGACCAUCGCAACGCAAUACGCCAGGCAGUGAGGACUUCGGUCCGAAGGCUUGGAGAUGACGCGAACCGCCGUCUACGUUUCUCUUUCUUCAAAAGACAAGGACCACGCUUUGUGUGUGUCUGCCGGCGCGAGCCUGGCGGACGGCAUUUGCGUGUUGUUCAAAACCCUUAUGGGCCCGUAGCUCAGUUGGUUAGAGCACACGCUUGAUAAGCGUGGGGUCGGUAGUUCGAGUCUACCCGGGCCCACCAUGUUUUGUCCUGACGCUGUCGCAGCCUUCGGCUGCUGCGCUCCGGACGGGCCGUGCCACUGGGCACGACGGCCGCUUGGCCUUGCGGAGCUUUGCUCCGGGCGUGCGAUGCGGCUGGGUUAUUUGGUGGUUUUGGAUGACUGGUUUUAAGCGUUGACGGAUCUCUUGGAGUUCAAGAGGUGCGAACCUGAAUGGGGCUGUAGCUCAGCUGGGAGAGCACCUGCUUUGCAAGCAGGGGGUCAGCGGUUCGAUCCCGCUCAGCUCCACCAUGGUUUUGUCCUGACGCUGUCGCAGCCUUUGGCUGCUGCGCUCCGGACGGACCGCGCAACGAUGCGCGACGGGCUUGCCCGUUUUGGUGGCUUGCUGAGGAACGGAUAUCCUUGUCUUUGAAGAAAUAAAAGCUUUGCACCUGGCUUAUGGCCCGGUGCCUGUUGUUGAUACAUUGUGAAGAGAAGAUUGAUCUGGAGGCUUCCAGGUGCUGUGGGGUAACCCAUGGUGUCCGAGCCCUUUCCUUAUGAUCCUUAUGACGGUCUAGCCGACCGGAGUUUGGGGAAGGACGGGAGGUAGGUAGGAAGCUUGUCACUCUGGUCGUUCGUUGUUGGUGGCCUAGGCUGCCUCUGACGAAUUGCUGAUGAUCGUUGCCUGACCGCGCGAUCCCGGAUUUAAUCUCGAGAAGCUGGUCUUAAAGAUAGACUGCAAGUGAGCUGCUCGGCGUAGCUCCGAUAAAGCAGGUCUAUCGAACGCGUCGAUGGCAUCUGACUGUCUGGUUGUAAAAGGUAACCGGACUUCUGGUUGGUCUGCUUCCUCUAGGGGAUGCGGACUUUUUGGCUUGGGCUUUGUUGACACUUGCCCGUAUGGCCGGAUUUGGAACCCCUUCUUUCGUCAGAAAGGAGGAUAGGACUUCCAGAUCGCAGAUAGAGAUGAGCAUUGGCAAUGAGAACGAUUAAGUGUCUUAAGGGCAUUUGGUGGAUGCCCUGGCAG
Molecule: transfer RNA, 1363 nt
Filed under: Rhizobium sp. YC6881
Lineage: Bacteria; Pseudomonadati; Pseudomonadota; Alphaproteobacteria; Hyphomicrobiales; Rhizobiaceae
Description: partial 16S-23S ribosomal RNA intergenic spacer
Rfam family: tRNA (bases 307-380)
Source: RNAcentral